UCUUGAUGUUUUCUUUUGACUUCAUUUUUUCAUUAAUUAAUUUUCAUUUUCCAUCAGAAUCCCUUAUACCUACACAUCACCUGCAUGCUGGUACCUAACACAGAACUUGCUCCAACCAGACAAGUCUUUGGGUACAAAGGGCUGAUGUGCACAAGUCAAUCUGUUGUUCAUGCAUAUUAUACUCAUGUUUUAUAAUCACACUUCUUGUAAACAUUUUAAAGACCUCAUUGUUUUGUCUGAUUUCAUUGUUUUGCCUAUUUUUUCUCUUCUAGCUCCCCAUGCAUCUUAAGGAAAAGGGGCUAAAUUUAACUACUUUGUUCUAUAUUUCUCCUUAAUGUUUCUUAUUGUAUCCCAUAUAUUUUAUAUCUUCCCUUCCCUAAUACAAAAGUUCACCCCCUCAUACUCACAUGUACAUAAUAUAGCAACAGUAUUCCUUUCCUUCACACAUAUCAUGCCUCCAAAUACUUGACCAGUGGGUCAGAAUACUCCUGGUACUUCACGUAAAUUUCUUCCAUGAUUUGGAUGCGGUUCUGUUGCUCCUCUAAGGAUUCAAGUGUUUAAAGCUUGCCCCCUCCACCCUGGCCUGCCCCUGUGUGACAAUGCUGAGCCAUGUUAGAACCUUUCAAGGGUAGAGCCCAGCGGGAGAUCACGUUUAUUUCUUACCUCUGAAAGGGUUCCUGUAAUUCUCCUUGGAAUGCAGUGGGUUCUUGUGAGGGGGAGUUUUUGUAAAAGAUCAAGACUGCCCUUCCUUAGUUUCCCUGGCAUCCUAUCUCUCCUUGUAAUCUUUCCCUCUCAGAUGUGGUCCCACCAUGACAUCAUCUGCCACGACGUGUCACAGUCAAGGAGGCUGAACACUUACACAUUGGGCCGCUUUAUCUUGGAUUUUCAGCCUCCCAAAAAUGAGACGGGAUUUCACUAAGGCUCCAGAUUUUCUGAAAUGAAAUAUUGUAAGAUAAAUAUGUCUGCAACAGAAUAUUUUGAGCAUUGCUUUACAUGAAAAGAAAGUCCAGAGGUUAAUGAGAGUCAAUAUAGCAUUUAAAAUUCUCUUGUGGCUUUUGACUAAUUGUCUUUAAAAAUCCUCAUUGUGCAGAAGUUAAAUCUUUGUCAAAUAAAGAGAAUCUGAUUAUUUUGAUGACA
This 1137-nucleotide long non-coding RNA is filed under the name Oryctolagus cuniculus (rabbit). RNAcentral's name for it is "lncRNA (ENSOCUG00000034056.1)". Lineage: Eukaryota; Metazoa; Chordata; Mammalia; Lagomorpha; Leporidae. The record is from RNAcentral.